GAGUUAAACUUCGUUCUUUAGAUAAGCCACAAAAGAACCGAGUACGAGAACCGUGUCUUCUGGUAGCCAGUAAUUUUCAGUUUGUUGCGUAUAGGUGACCCGUGCCAGUCGACUGACCCGGGUGCUAACCCAGGACACCCGCAACCAAUCCCCGUGAAGCGAGGCCCGGGACGACCCCGCCUGCGUCCUUUCGGACCCGGGCACCAAGGGACUCGCGGUUCGCCCCGGCCGAGGAAGGCCCCCAAGCCACUGCCCGUCCCUCUACGGUCAGGAUCGGGUACAGUGCCCACAGCUGCUGGGGCAGAACACCCUCGGCCAUUCGGCUUCUACACUCAGGGAACCAGUCCCACCGAGUAGAAGGUGUUUGGCGUCUGUUAUAGAAACAGCGCGAGUAGGAGACACGCUGCCUGCAUUUUGGGCGUUGCACAGGAAUUGGGUUGUGUACCGGGCAGUAUUUUGUGGCGCCUUUAUUUAGAACAUUUCUUGUGGUCAAUGUGACGCGAAUUAUGAUAGAGUAUGAUUAUACUAGCGAUUUUUCAGCCUCUGCAAAAAAAUUUAAUAGAGAAUCUCAAGCUAUCUAUCACUUGAAUGAAAAAAUAAAUGAUUAAUAUCAGUCGUACGUAGGUUUGUAUAUAUAGAAUUUUGUUUACCGAUGUCAGGUCUGUGUGAAGUCUGAACAUUUGCAAAUAAUUAUUGGUCACGCGUCAUUAAAUUUAAAUGUUAAAUAAAACAAUUGAGGUCUCUACGUGAUGUAUUUUCAUUGUGUUACGAUAUUUUAAGUGACGUCUUUUAGAUUCUAAGAGCAAAAUUCGUGGGUUAGAAAUAAAAGUAGAAAUAUAUCUGUAAAAUAAUUUAAUUUGGGAACAUGUUACAGGGUGUGGAAAAUGUUGGAAUAAAGGAUUCACCACGUUAAUCAUA
Molecule: non-coding RNA, 918 nt
Organism: Zootermopsis nevadensis
Lineage: Eukaryota; Metazoa; Arthropoda; Insecta; Blattodea; Termopsidae
Source: RefSeq, a predicted model, not a curated record